UGAACGCUGGCGGCAGGACCUAACACAUGUCAAGUCCGAACGGUAACAGGAAGCAGCUUGCUGCUUCGCUGACGAGUGGCGGACGGGUGAGUAAUGUCUGGGAAACUGCCUGAUGGAGGGGGAUAACUACUGGAAACGGUAGCUAAUACCGCAUAACGUCGCAAGACCAAAGAGGGGGACCUUCGGGCCUCUUGCCAUCGGAUGUGCCCAGAUGGGAUUAGCUAGUAGGUGGGGUAACGGCUCACCUAGGCGACGAUCCCUAGCUGGUCUGAGAGGAUGACCAGCCACACUGGAACUGAGACACGGUCCAGACUCCUACGGGAGGCAGCAGUGGGGAAUAUUGCACAAUGGGCGCAAGCCUGAUGCAGCCAUGCCGCGUGUAUGAAGAAGGCCUUCGGGUUGUAAAGUACUUUCAGCGGGGAGGAAGGCGAUAAGGUUAAUAACCUUGUCUAUUGACGUUACCCGGAGAAGAAGCACCGGCUAACUCCGUGCCAGCAGCCGCGAUAAUACGGAGGGUGCAAGCGUUAAUCGGAAUUACUGGGCGUAAAGCGCACGCAGGCGGUCUGUCAAGUCGGAUGUGAAAUCCCCGGGCUCAACCUGGGAACUGCAUUCGAAACUGGCAGGCUAGAGUCUUGUAGAGGGGGGUAGAAUUCCAGGUGUAGCGGUGAAAUGCGUAGAGAUCUGGAGGAAUACCGGUGGCGAAGGCGGCCCCCUGGACAAAGACUGACGCUCAGGUGCGAAAGCGUGGGGAGCAAACA
RNAcentral lists this ribosomal RNA (758 nucleotides) under bacterium UASWS0144. RNAcentral's name for it is "bacterial SSU rRNA". It matches the Rfam family "Bacterial small subunit ribosomal RNA", at positions 30 to 774 of the family's 1533-position model. The record is from RNAcentral.